UGAGCAAUCUGCCCUUCUCUUCGGAAUAAAGCGUUGGAAACGACGUCUAAUGCCGAAUACGACCUCCUUUCGCAUGAUCGGAGGUGGAAAGCUCCGGCGGAGAAAGAUGGGCUCGCGUCUGAUUAGCUUGUUGGUGAGGUAACGGCCCACCAAGGCAACGAUCAGUAGCCGGACUGAGAGGUUGAACGGCCACAUUGGGACUGAGACACGGCCCAGACUCCUACGGGAGNAGCG
This 234-nucleotide ribosomal RNA is filed under the name uncultured bacterium. RNAcentral describes it as "partial 16S ribosomal RNA". It matches the Rfam family "Bacterial small subunit ribosomal RNA", at positions 118 to 347 of the family's 1533-position model. The record is from RNAcentral.